CCUACGGGAGGCAGCAGUGGGGAAUAUUGGACAAUGGGGGGAACCCUGAUCCAGCCAUGCCGCGUGUGUGAAGAAGGCCCUCGGGUUGUAAAGCACUUUCAGGGAGGAAGAACGCCUGGUGGUUAAUACCCAUCAGGAAAGACAUCACUCACAGAAGAAGCACCGGCUAACUCCGUGCCAGCAGCCGCGGUAAUACGGAGGGUGCGAGCGUUAAUCGGAAUUACUGGGCGUAAAGCGCGCGUAGGUGGCUUGAUAAGCCGGUUGUGAAAGCCCCGGGCUCAACCUGGGAACGGCAUCCGGAUCUGUCAAGCUAGAGUGCAUGAGAGGAAGGUAGAAUUCCCGGUGUAGCGGUGAAAUGCGUAGAGCUCGGGAGGAAUACCAGUGGCGAAGGCGGCCUUCUGGACUGACACUGACACUGAGGUGCGAAAGCGUGGGUAGCAAACAGGAUUAGAUACCCUUGUAGUC
Molecule: ribosomal RNA, 465 nt
Filed under: Vreelandella stevensii
Lineage: Bacteria; Pseudomonadati; Pseudomonadota; Gammaproteobacteria; Oceanospirillales; Halomonadaceae
Description: partial 16S ribosomal RNA
Rfam family: Bacterial small subunit ribosomal RNA
Source: RNAcentral